This 497-nucleotide ribosomal RNA is filed under the name uncultured bacterium. RNAcentral's name for it is "partial 16S ribosomal RNA". It matches the Rfam family "Bacterial small subunit ribosomal RNA", at positions 28 to 507 of the family's 1533-position model. The record is from RNAcentral.
GAUGAACGCUGGCGGCGUGCCUAAUACAUGCAAGUCGAGCGAACAGACGAGGAGCUUGCUCCUCUGACGUUAGCGGCGGACGGGUGAGUAACACGUGGAUAACCUACCUAUAAGACUGGGAUAACUUCGGGAAACCGGAGCUAAUACCGGAUAAUAUAUUGAACCGCAGGGUUCAAUAGUGAAAGACGGUUUUGCUGUCACGUAUAGAUGGAUCCGCGCCGCAUUAGCUAGUUGGUAAGGUAACGGCUUACCAAGGCAACGAUGCGUAGCCGACCUGAGAGGGUGAUCGGCCACACUGGAACUGAGACACGGUCCAGACUCCUACGGGAGGCAGCAGUAGGGAAUCUUCCGCAAUGGGCGAAAGCCUGACGGAGCAACGCCGCGUGAGUGAUGAAGGUCUUCGGAUCGUAAAACUCUGUUAUUAGGGAAGAACAAAUGUGUAAGUAACUAUGCACGUCUUGACGGUACCUAAUCAGAAAGCCACGGCUAACUACGUG